AGCUCCAGUCACCAGACCUGGCCACACCGGAAAAUCUUUAACAUCUGAAUGCAUUGCAAACGAAAAAAACCUCUCAGGAACAGAACUUCAGGAGAUUGUAAUGUGCAUGUGCUGCUGCAUUAUACAUAUUCAAUGCAACUGAGGCUGAAUUCCAUCAAACGCUUUUAUUUCCUCAGGCUUGAACAAGAAUGAUGACCUUAUUGCAGAACACGGUGAACCUCUCUGCAGGAAAUGAAGGCUUUGCUGAGACACAUCUUCUUGUUCAACGGAUCUUGGAGCAAGAGGUCUGCAGAUUAUAAUUGCUCAAGUCAU
Long non-coding RNA from Hypanus sabinus (Atlantic stingray), 312 nucleotides. RefSeq lists it as uncharacterized. The record is from RefSeq and is a predicted model, not a curated record. NCBI's taxonomy places the organism in Eukaryota, Metazoa, Chordata, Chondrichthyes, Myliobatiformes, Dasyatidae. The transcript has 3 exons.